This 57-nucleotide ribosomal RNA is filed under the name Camptosema spectabile. RNAcentral's name for it is "partial 26S ribosomal RNA". Lineage: Eukaryota; Viridiplantae; Streptophyta; Magnoliopsida; Fabales; Fabaceae. The record is from RNAcentral.
CGAGACCUCAGGUCAGGCGGGACUACCCGCUGAGUUUAAGCAUAUCAAUAAGCGGAG